This 472-nucleotide ribosomal RNA is filed under the name Pelecyphorus sp. n. ADS-2012. RNAcentral describes it as "eukaryotic LSU rRNA". Lineage: Eukaryota; Metazoa; Arthropoda; Insecta; Coleoptera; Tenebrionidae. The record is from RNAcentral.
AGAGUACGUGAAACCGUUCAGGGGUAAACCUGAGAAACCCGAAAGGUCGAAAGGGGAGAUUCAGCGUGUCUCGAUUGCGGCGCUGGACGGUCGUGCGACGGAAGACGUACGCGUCAUCCGCACCUUCCGUCUUCCGAACCGUAGUCGAACGCGUGCACUUCUCCCCCUGUAGGACGUCGCGAUCCGUUGGGUGCCGGUCUAAGGCCCGCAAUGGAGCCCGUUCGGACGGUUUACCGUUCCGGACGAACUUGCGGUGUUUCCCGGUCGGCUCGCUCGACGGUAUACAGAUGGCGCGGGGCCGCUACACAUUAGUUAGCGUCCGACCGGCGGCAAGCGCGCUCGUCGUGACGGUGAUCGGACCUGGUGCCGGUCCUGUCCCCGAGUGGCUGUUCGCUGCCGUGUUCUCGGACAGACCUCGUUGAAACGCCGAUCUGCGACGCUAUAGCUUUGGGUACUUUCAGGACCCGUCUUG